UUUAGGCAAACGCUGCAAUUUAUUGUAGAGGAAAGUCCAUGCUCACAAAAGCUGAGAUGCUUUUAGUGUUUGUGCUAAGGAAAAAAAUAACCUUAGGGGGAGAAAUCCUACGGCUUCGAAAGAACCUAAGUUUUUGAAUAUGGUUUUAGUAGAUGUAAAAGUGCCAUAGAGACGAUACAUAUUAGAAAUAAUAUGAGUGGAACGUGGUAAACCCCACAAGUGAGAAACCCAAAUUAUGGUAGGGGAGCUUUGACGAGGAAAAUGAACUUAAGUCAAGGAUCGAAAGAUAGAUAAAUGUUUGCCACCUAGUGAUAGGUACAGAACAUGGCUUAUU
This 334-nucleotide RNase P RNA is filed under the name human gut metagenome. Its description in RNAcentral is "Bacterial RNase P class B". It matches the Rfam family "Bacterial RNase P class B". From Rfam's summary of the family: Ribonuclease P (RNase P) is a ubiquitous endoribonuclease, found in archaea, bacteria and eukarya as well as chloroplasts and mitochondria. The record is from RNAcentral.